Molecule: transfer RNA, 69 nt
Filed under: Ictidomys tridecemlineatus (thirteen-lined ground squirrel)
Lineage: Eukaryota; Metazoa; Chordata; Mammalia; Rodentia; Sciuridae
Description: Spermophilus tridecemlineatus (thirteen-lined ground squirrel) tRNA
Rfam family: tRNA
About the family: Transfer RNA (tRNA) molecules are approximately 80 nucleotides in length. Their secondary structure includes four short double-helical elements and three loops (D, anti-codon, and T loops).
Source: Rfam by way of RNAcentral
GGGGUUGUAGCUCAGAGGAAAAGUGCUUGCCUAGCAUGCAUGAGGCUCUGGGUUCAAUCCUCAGCACCA